CCAAGUUUUUAAGGGCGCACGGUGGAUGCCUUGGCACCAGGAACCGAUGAAGGACGUGGGAGGCCACGAUAGUCCCCGGGGAGUCGUCAACCAGGCUUUGAUCCGGGGGUUUCCGAAUGGGGAAACCCGGCAGUCGUCAUGGGCUGUCACCCUUGCCUGAACACAUAGGGCAAGUGGAGGGAACGCGGGGAAGUGAAACAUCUCAGUACCCGCAGGAAGAGAAAACAACCGUGAUUCCGGGAGUAGUGGCGAGCGAAACCGGAUGAGGCCAAACCGUAUGCGUGUGAGACCCGGCAGGGGUUGCGUAUACGGGGUUGUGGGAUCUCUCUUUUACAGUCUGCCGGCUGUGAGACGAGUCAGAAACCGUUGAUGUAGGCGAAGGACAUGCGAAAGGUCCGGCGUAGAGGGUAAGACCCCCGUAGCUGAAACAUUGACGGCUCGUUUGAGAGACACCCAAGUAGCACGGGGCCCGAGAAAUCCCGUGUGAAUCUGGCGGGACCACCCGCUAAGCCUAAAUAUUCCCUGGUGACCGAUAGCGGAUAGUACCGUGAGGGAAUGGUGAAAAGUACCGCGGGAGCGGAGUGAAAUAGUACCUGAAACCGUGUGCCUACAAGCCGUGGGAGCGUCGCGCAUCGAGUUUACUCGGUGCGUCGUGACUGCGUGCCUUUUGAAGAAUGAGCCUGCGAGUUUGCGGUGUGUUGCGAGGUUAACCCGAGUGGGGUAGCCGUAGCGAAAGCGAGUCCGAACAGGGCGAUUUUAGUAGCACGCUCAAGACCCGAAGCGGAGUGAUCUAGCCAUGGGCAGGUUGAAGCGGAGGUAAGACUUCGUGGAGGACCGAACCCACCAGGGUUGAAAACCUGGGGGAUGACCUGUGGUUAGGGGUGAAAGGCCAAUCAAACUCCGUGAUAGCUGGUUCUCCCCGAAAUGCAUUUAGGUGCAGCGUCGUGUGUUUCUUGCCGGAGGUAGAGCACUGGAUAGGCGAUGGGCCCUACCGGGUUACUGACCUUAGCCAAACUCCGAAUGCCGGUAAGUGAGAGCACGGCAGUGAGACUGUGGGGGAUAAGCUCCAUGGUCGAGAGGGAAACAGCCCAGAGCAUCGACUAAGGCCCCUAAGCGUACGCUAAGUGGGAAAGGAUGUGGAGUCGCACAGACAACCAGGAGGUUGGCUUAGAAGCAGCCACCCUUGAAAGAGUGCGUAAUAGCUCACUGGUCUAGUGAUUCCGCGCCGACAAUGUAGCGGGGCUCAAGCGUACCGCCGAAGUCGUGUCAUUCCAGCAUAUAGGGCCAACGCCUGCUGGGAUGGGUAGGGGAGCGUCGUGUGCCGGGUGAAGCAGCCGCGGAAGCGAGUUGUGGACGGUUCACGAGUGAGAAUGCAGGCAUGAGUAGCGAUACACACGUGAGAAACGUGUGCGCCGAUUGACCAAGGGUUCCUGGGUCAAGCUGAUCUGCCCAGGGUAAGUCGGGACCUAAGGCGAGGCCGACAGGCGUAGUCGAUGGAUAACCGGUUGAUAUUCCGGUACCCGCUGUGAAGCGUCAAACACUGAACCAGGCGAUGCUAAGUCCGUGAAGCCGUUCCGGACCCUUCGGGGAAAGGAAAGUGGUGGAGCCGACGGACCAGACUUGUAGUAGGUGAGUGAUGGGGUGACGCAGGAAGGUAGUCCAUCCCGGGCGGUGGUUGUCCCGGGGUAAGGGUGUAGGCCGUGCGAUAGGUAAAUCCGUCGCACGUGUGGCUGAGACCUGAUGCCGAGCCGAUUGUGGUGAAGUGGAUGAUCCUAUGCUGUCGAGAAAAGCCUCUAGCGAGUUUCAUGGCGGCCCGUACCCUAAACCGACUCAGGUGGUCAGGUAGAGAAUACCGAGGCGUUCGGGUGAACUAUGGUUAAGGAACUCGGCAAAAUGCCCCCGUAACUUCGGGAGAAGGGGGGCCAUCACCGGUGAUAGCACUUGCUGCUUGAGCUGGGGGUGGCCGCAGAGACCAGCGAGAAGCGACUGUUUACUAAAAACACAGGUCCGUGCGAAGCCGUAAGGCGAUGUAUACGGACUGACGCCUGCCCGGUGCUGGAACGUUAAGGGGACCGGUUAGUCACAUUUCGGUGUGGCGAAGCUGAGAACUUAAGCGCCAGUAAACGGCGGUGGUAACUAUAACCAUCCUAAGGUAGCGAAAUUCCUUGUCGGGUAAGUUCCGACCUGCACGAAUGGCGUAACGACUUCUCGACUGUCUCAACCAUAGGCCCGGUGAAAUUGCACUACGAGUAAAGAUGCUCGUUUCGCGCAGCAGGACGGAAAGACCCCGGGACCUUUACUACAGUUUGAUAUUGGUGUUCGGUUCGGCUUGUGUAGGAUAGCUGGGAGACUUUGAAGCUCGGACGCCAGUUCGGGUGGAGUCGUCGUUGAAAUACCAGUCUGGUCGUGCUGGAUGUCUAACCUGGGUCCGUGAUCCGGAUCAGGGACAGUGUCUGAUGGGUAGUUUAACUGGGGCGGUUGCCUCCUAAAGAGUAACGGAGGCGCCCAAAGGUUCCCUCAGCCUGGUUGGCAAUCAGGUGGUGAGUGUAAGUGCACAAGGGAGCUUGACUGUGAGACCGACGGGUCGAGCAGGGACGAAAGUCGGGACUAGUGAUCCGGCGGUGGCUUGUGGAAGCGCCGUCGCUCAACGGAUAAAAGGUACCCCGGGGAUAACAGGCUGAUCUUCCCCAAGAGUCCAUAUCGACGGGAUGGUUUGGCACCUCGAUGUCGGCUCGUCGCAUCCUGGGGCUGGAGUCGGUCCCAAGGGUUGGGCUGUUCGCCCAUUAAAGCGGUACGCGAGCUGGGUUUAGAACGUCGUGAGACAGUUCGGUCCCUAUCCGCUGCGCGCGCAGGAAUAUUGAGAAGGGCUGUCCCUAGUACGAGAGGACCGGGACGGACGAACCUCUGGUGUGCCAGUUGUCCUGCCAAGGGCAUGGCUGGUUGGCUACGUUCGGGAGGGAUAACCGCUGAAAGCAUCUAAGCGGGAAGCCUGCUUCGAGAUGAGUAUUCCCACCCACUUGAUGGGGUAAGGCUCCCAGUAGACGACUGGGUUGAUAGGCCAGAUAUGGAAGCCUGGUAACGGGUGGAGUUGACUGGUACUAAUAGGCCGAGGGCUUGUCCUC
Molecule: ribosomal RNA, 3122 nt
Filed under: Streptomyces bottropensis ATCC 25435
Lineage: Bacteria; Bacillati; Actinomycetota; Actinomycetes; Kitasatosporales; Streptomycetaceae
Description: bacterial LSU rRNA
Rfam family: Bacterial large subunit ribosomal RNA
Source: RNAcentral